GUGCUCACUUUGGCAGCACAGACUAAAACUGGAACAAUACAGAAAAGAUUAGCAAGGCCCCUGAGCAAGGAUGACACGCAAAUUCAUGAAGUGUUCUAUAUUAAA
This is a small nuclear RNA of Pteropus vampyrus (large flying fox), 105 nucleotides long. The record is from Ensembl. Lineage: Eukaryota; Metazoa; Chordata; Mammalia; Chiroptera; Pteropodidae.